Molecule: ribosomal RNA, 284 nt
Filed under: uncultured bacterium
Lineage: Bacteria
Description: partial 16S ribosomal RNA
Rfam family: Bacterial small subunit ribosomal RNA
Source: RNAcentral
GUGGAUUAGAUACCCUGGUAGUCCACGCAGUAAACGAUGAUUACUCGCUGUUUGCGAUAUACAGUAAGCGGCUUAGCGAAAGCGUUAAGUAAUCCACCUGGGGAGUACGUUCGCAAGAAUGAAACUCAAAGGAAUUGACGGGGGCCCGCACAAGCGGAGGAACAUGUGGUUUAAUUCGAUGAUACGCGAGGAACCUUACCCGGGCUUGAAAUGCAUCUGACAGGGGCAGAGACGCCCUCUUCCUUCGGGACAGAUGUGUAGGUGCUGCAUGGCUGUCGACAGCU